This 296-nucleotide ribosomal RNA is filed under the name uncultured bacterium. Its description in RNAcentral is "partial 16S ribosomal RNA". It matches the Rfam family "Bacterial small subunit ribosomal RNA", at positions 28 to 334 of the family's 1533-position model. The record is from RNAcentral.
GACGAACGCUGGCGGUGUGCUUCACACAUGCAAGUCGAACGGGGUAGCAAUACCUAGUGGCGGACGGGUGAGUAACGCGUGGGAAUCUGCCUUGAAAUGGGGGAUAGCAAGCCGAAAGGUUUAUUAAUACCGCAUAUGAUUACAUCAAGACAUUUUUUGUAAUUGAAAGGAGCAAUCCGUUUCAAGAUGAGCCCGCGUCCGAUUAGCUAGUUGGUAGGGUAACGGCCUACCAAGGCGACGAUCGGUAGGUGGUCUGAGAGGAUGAUCACCCACAAUGGGACUGAGACACGGCCCAU